UGAAUCCUGCGUGCUGUNCAAAAAGAUGGU
This 30-nucleotide non-coding RNA is filed under the name Mus musculus (house mouse). Lineage: Eukaryota; Metazoa; Chordata; Mammalia; Rodentia; Muridae. The record is from RNAcentral.